UGCCUGGCUCCCUGUAUGCUU
This 21-nucleotide microRNA is filed under the name Citrus sinensis (sweet orange). RNAcentral describes it as "csi-miR160c-5p". Its record names the gene csi-miR160c-5p. Lineage: Eukaryota; Viridiplantae; Streptophyta; Magnoliopsida; Sapindales; Rutaceae. The record is from miRBase by way of RNAcentral.